This 73-nucleotide transfer RNA is filed under the name Ipomoea nil (Japanese morning glory). It matches the Rfam family "tRNA". Rfam says of the family: Transfer RNA (tRNA) molecules are approximately 80 nucleotides in length. Their secondary structure includes four short double-helical elements and three loops (D, anti-codon, and T loops). Further hydrogen bonds mediate the characteristic L-shaped molecular structure. tRNAs have two regions of fundamental functional importance: the anti-codon, which is responsible for specific mRNA codon recognition, and the 3' end, to which the tRNAs corresponding amino acid is attached (by aminoacyl-tRNA synthetases). tRNAs cope with the degeneracy of the genetic code in two manners: having more than one tRNA (with a specific anti-codon) for a particular amino acid; and 'wobble' base-pairing, i.e. permitting non-standard base-pairing at the 3rd anti-codon position. The record is from Rfam by way of RNAcentral. Lineage: Eukaryota; Viridiplantae; Streptophyta; Magnoliopsida; Solanales; Convolvulaceae.
GCACCAGUAGUUCUAGUGGUAGAAUAGUACCCUGCCACAGUAUAGACCCCGGGUUCGAUUCUCGACUGGUGCA